Molecule: non-coding RNA, 303 nt
Organism: Podarcis lilfordi (Lilford's wall lizard)
Lineage: Eukaryota; Metazoa; Chordata; Lepidosauria; Squamata; Lacertidae
Source: the annotation of a GenBank genome assembly
GGAUGUGAGGGCAAUCUGGCUGCGACAUCUGUCACCCCAUUGAUCGCCAGGGUUGAUUCGGCUGAUCUGGCUGGCUAGGCGGGUGUCCCCUUCCUCCCUCACCACUCCAUGUAUGUCCCUCCCGAAGCUGCGCGCUCGGUGGAAGAGGACGACCAUCCCAGAUAGAAGGAGUGUACCGUUCUUCGGUCAAGGGUAUACGAUAGCUGCGCUCCCCUGCUAGAACCUCCAAACAAGAACAGUUUCAGGUUAAGAACAGACCUACAAGUUCUUAAUCCGAGGUACCACUAUACAUGGGUUUUGUGG